GGAGACGUGGGAGAGUGGCCUAAUCCAUUCCCUUGCUAAGGGAACGUGCCUCAAAAGGGCACCGUGAGUUCGAAUCUCACCGACUCCGCCA
Molecule: transfer RNA, 91 nt
Filed under: Bacteriovorax sp.
Lineage: Bacteria; Pseudomonadati; Bdellovibrionota; Bacteriovoracia; Bacteriovoracales; Bacteriovoracaceae
Description: tRNA-Ser
Rfam family: tRNA
About the family: Transfer RNA (tRNA) molecules are approximately 80 nucleotides in length.
Source: RNAcentral